This 744-nucleotide non-coding RNA is filed under the name Malcus auriculatus. The record is from RNAcentral. Lineage: Eukaryota; Metazoa; Arthropoda; Insecta; Hemiptera; Malcidae.
UAAUUUUGUUAGGUAAAAUUAGUUUAAAGAUAUUAAUUUUAUGUUUAUUGUUUAUUCUUAAAGAUUUUGUUUUGCAGUUUUUAAUAUUGUUUAUUUAAAGAAAUUUAGAUUCAGAUAAUUUUUAUAGAAUUGUAUAAAGUUGUGCCAGCAUAUGCGGUUAUACAUCUAAUUUAAGUUAAUUUUAUUGGUUUUGAUUUAUUAAUUUUAUUGAAAUUAUUUUUAUUAUUGUUAGGUUAAAUUUUUAUUAUUUUUAUAUUUUUGGUUUUAAGGAUUUAUUAAAAAUUCAUUUUAGAGACUAGGAUUAGAUACCCUAUUAUUAUGAAUGUAAUUUUAUCUAUAUUAUUAGUGGUUAUGUUCCUUAAAAUAAAUAAAUUUGGCGGUAAUCUAUUCUUUUUAGAGGAACCUGUUCUGUUAUUGAUAAUCCACGUUUUAUAUUACUUUAUUUUAUUAUUUGUAUAUCUCUGUCAUUGAAUGUCUUAUUAGGGUAUUUUCUUAAUAUUAUUAUUUAAUUUAUGUCAAGUCAAGGUGCAGUUAUAUUAAAGGUUGAAAUGGGUUACAUUUAAUUUAAUUUAAAGGAUUAAUUAAUGAAUUAUUAAUUAUGAAAGAGGAUUUAAAGGUAAAUUAUAUUAUUUAUUAUUAUUGAUUGUGGCUCUGGAUUAUGUACAUAUCGCCCGUCACUCUCAUUUAUUUAGUUGGGAUAAGUCGUAACAAAGUAAUUUUACUGGAAAGUGAUGUUGGAAGGUU